RNAcentral lists this ribosomal RNA (484 nucleotides) under uncultured bacterium. Its description in RNAcentral is "partial 16S ribosomal RNA". It matches the Rfam family "Bacterial small subunit ribosomal RNA", at positions 30 to 507 of the family's 1533-position model. The record is from RNAcentral.
AUUGAACGCCGGCGGCAGGCCUAACACACGCAAGUCGAGCGGAUGAAGGGAGCUUGCUCCUGGAUUCAGCGGCGGACGGGUGAGUAAUGCCUAGGAAUCUGCCUGGUAGUGGGGGAUAACGUCCGGAAACGGGCGCUAAUACCGCAUACGUCCUGAGGGAGAAAGUGGGGGAUCUUCGGACCUCACGCUAUCAGAUGAGCCUAGGUCGGAUUAGCUAGUUGGUGGGGUAAAGGCCUACCAAGGCGACGAUCCGUAACUGGUCUGAGAGGAUGAUCAGUCACACUGGAACUGAGACACGGUCCAGACUCCUACGGGAGGCAGCAGUGGGGAAUAUUGGACAAUGGGCGAAAGCCUGAUCCAGCCAUGCCGCGUGUGUGAAGAAGGUCUUCGGAUUGUAAAGCACUUUAAGUUGGGAGGAAGGGCAGUAAGUUAAUACCUUGCUGUUUUGACGUUACCAACAGAAUAAGCACCGGCUAACUUCGUG